This 497-nucleotide ribosomal RNA is filed under the name uncultured bacterium. RNAcentral's name for it is "partial 16S ribosomal RNA". It matches the Rfam family "Bacterial small subunit ribosomal RNA", at positions 28 to 507 of the family's 1533-position model. The record is from RNAcentral.
GAUGAACGCUGGCGGCGUGCCUAAUACAUGCAAGUCGAGCGAACAGACGAGGAGCUUGCUCCUCUGACGUUAGCGGCGGACGGGUGAGUAACACGUGGAUAACCUACCUAUAAGACUGGGAUAACUUCGGGAAACCGCAGCUAAUACCGGAUAAUAUAUUGAACCGCAUGGUUCAAUAGUGAAAGACGGUUUUGCUGUCACUUAUAGAUGGAUCCGCGCCGCAUUAGCUAGUUGGUAAGGUAACGGCUUACCAAGGCGACGAUGCGUAGCCGACCUGAGAGGGUGAUCGGCCACACUGGAACUGAGACACGGUCCAGACUCCUACGGGAGGCAGCAGUAGGGAAUCUUCCGCAAUGGGCGAAAGCCUGACGGAGCAACGCCGCGUGAGUGAUGAAGGUCUUCGGAUCGUAAAACUCUGUUAUUAGGGAAGAACAAAUGUGUAAGUAACUAUGCACGUCUUGACGGUACCUAAUCAGAAAGCCACGGCUAACUACGUG